RNAcentral lists this ribosomal RNA (510 nucleotides) under uncultured bacterium. Its description in RNAcentral is "partial 16S ribosomal RNA". It matches the Rfam family "Bacterial small subunit ribosomal RNA", at positions 28 to 507 of the family's 1533-position model. The record is from RNAcentral.
GACGAACGCUGGCGGCGUGCUUAACACAUGCAAGUCGAACGAAGAGCGAUGGAAGCUUGCUUCUAUCAAUCUUAGUGGCGAACGGGUGAGUAACGCGUAAUCAACCUGCCCUUCAGAGGGGGACAACAGUUGGAAACGACUGCUAAUACCGCAUACGAUCUAAUCUCGGCAUCGAGGAUAGAUGAAAGGUGGCCUCUACAUGUAAGCUAUCACUGAAGAAGGGGAUUGCGUCUGAUUAGCUAGUUGGAGGGGUAACGGCCCACCAAGGCGAUGAUCGGUAGCCGGUCUGAGAGGAUGAACGGCCACAUUGGGACUGAGACACGGCCCAGACUCCUACGGGAGGCAGCAGUGGGGAAUCUUCCGCAAUGGACGAAAGUCUGACGGAGCAACGCCGCGUGAGUGAUGACGGCCUUCGGGUUGUAAAGCUCUGUUAAUCGGGACGAAAGGCCUUCUUGCGAACAGUUAGAAGGAUUGACGGUACCGGAAUAGAAAGCCACGGCUAACUACGUG